GUUUUCUUGAAAAUAAAUGGAAUUAAAUUCAUUCGUAAAUAUUUCUCAUUCUUUAGGAAUAUGGAGACAUUUCAAUCGACCAAAUUCUUGCUAAAACUAAUAAUAAAGAGAAUGUGGGCGACCAAGAAUUCGAGUUGAUGGAGCUUGAUAUAAUUGUAGAUAAAAGUGUCAAGACGCCUUCAAGUAACCGUGCAAAUAUUAACAAAGACGAAACAAGACGUUGGCAGCCAGAAAUACACUAUGCAAUUGGUGACGAAAUAAGUACAGAACAUGAAAAUGAAAUCCGAAAGGCCAUUCCUGUUUGGCAGAAGUACUCAUGCCUCAGUUUCCAUGAAAACAAGCAGGCGUACCACAGAAUAGAGUUCAAGCUGGCAAA
Long non-coding RNA from Ruditapes philippinarum (Manila clam), 376 nucleotides. RefSeq lists it as uncharacterized. The record is from RefSeq and is a predicted model, not a curated record. The transcript is spliced from 4 exons. NCBI's taxonomy places the organism in Eukaryota, Metazoa, Mollusca, Bivalvia, Venerida, Veneridae.